RNAcentral lists this ribosomal RNA (315 nucleotides) under Escherichia coli. RNAcentral's name for it is "partial 23S ribosomal RNA". It matches the Rfam family "Bacterial large subunit ribosomal RNA", at positions 1 to 352 of the family's 2925-position model. The record is from RNAcentral. Lineage: Bacteria; Pseudomonadati; Pseudomonadota; Gammaproteobacteria; Enterobacterales; Enterobacteriaceae.
GGUUAAGCGACUAAGCGUACACGGUGGAUGCCCUGGCAGUCAGAGGCGAUGAAGGACGUGCUAAUCUGCGAUAAGCGUCGGUAAGGUGAUAUGAACCGUUAUAACCGGCGAUUUCCGAAUGGGGAAACCCAGUGUGAUUCGUCACACUAUCAUUAACUGAAUCCAUAGGUUAAUGAGGCGAACCGGGGGAACUGAAACAUCUAAGUACCCCGAGGAAAAGAAAUCAACCGAGAUUCCCCCAGUAGCGGCGAGCGAACGGGGAGGAGCCCAGAGCCUGAAUCAGUGUGUGUGUUAGUGGAAGCGUCUGGAAAGGCG